RNAcentral lists this ribosomal RNA (373 nucleotides) under uncultured organism. RNAcentral's name for it is "partial 16S ribosomal RNA". It matches the Rfam family "Bacterial small subunit ribosomal RNA", at positions 528 to 896 of the family's 1533-position model. The record is from RNAcentral.
GGGGGGGCAAGCGUUGUUCGGAAUUACUGGGCGUAAAGGGCGCGCAGGCGGCCUGACAAGUCCCUCGUGAAAUCCCACAGCUCAACUGUGGAACUGCGGGGGAUACUGCCGGGCUUGAGUCCGGGAGAGGAGAGUGGAAUUCCCAGUGUAGCGGUGAAAUGCGUAGAUAUUGGGAGGAACACCGGUGGCGAAGGCGGCUCUCUGGACCGGUACUGACGCUGAGGCGCGAAAGCUAGGGGAGCAAACGGGAUUAGAUACCCCGGGUAGUCCUAGCUGUAAACGUUGAGCACUUGGUGUGGCGGGUAUCGACCCCCUGCCGUGCCGAAGCUAACGCAUUAAGUGCUCCGCCUGGGGGAGUACGGUCGCAAGGCUG